RNAcentral lists this ribosomal RNA (455 nucleotides) under uncultured bacterium. RNAcentral describes it as "bacterial SSU rRNA". It matches the Rfam family "Bacterial small subunit ribosomal RNA", at positions 28 to 480 of the family's 1533-position model. The record is from RNAcentral.
GAUGAACGCUGGCGGCGUGCCUAAUACAUGCAAGUCGAACGCUUCACAUCGGUGAAGAGUGGCGAACGGGUGAGUAAUACAUAAGUAACCUGGCAUCUACAGGGGGAUAACUGAUGGAAACGUCAGCUAAGACCGCAUAGGUGUAGAGAUCGCAUGAACUCUAUAUGAAAAGUGCUACGGGACUGGUAGAUGAUGGACUUAUGGCGCAUUAGCUUGUUGGUAGGGUAACGGCCUACCAAGGCGACGAUGCGUAGCCGACCUGAGAGGGUGACCGGCCACACUGGGACUGAGACACGGCCCAGACUCCUACGGGAGGCAGCAGUAGGGAAUUUUCGGCAAUGGGGGAAACCCUGACCGAGCAACGCCGCGUGAAGGAAGAAGUAAUUCGUUAUGUAAACUUCUGUCAUAGAGGAAGAACGGUGGAUAUAGGGAAUGAUAUCCAAGUGACGGUACUC